This 440-nucleotide ribosomal RNA is filed under the name uncultured bacterium. RNAcentral describes it as "partial 16S ribosomal RNA". It matches the Rfam family "Bacterial small subunit ribosomal RNA", at positions 338 to 795 of the family's 1533-position model. The record is from RNAcentral.
CCUACGGGUGGCAGCAGUGGGGAAUCUUGCACAAUGGGCGAAACCCUGAUGCAGCGACGCCGCGUGAGUGAAGAAGUAUCUCGGUACGUAAAGCUCUAUCAGCAGGGAAGAAAAUGACGGUACCUGACUAAGAAGCCCCGGCUAACUACGUGCCAGCAGCCGCGGUAAUACGUAGGGGGCAAGCGUUAUCCGGAUUUACUGGGUGUACAGUGAGCGUAGACGGCAGCACAAGUCUGGAGUGAAAUCCCGGGGCUUAACCCCGGAACUGCUUUGGAAACUGUGCGGCUGGAGUGCAGGAGGGGUAAGGGGAAUUCCGAGUGUAGCGAUGAAAUGCGUAGAUAUUAGGAGGAACACCGGUGGCGAAGGCGGCUUACUGGACUGUAACUGACGUUGAGGCUCGAAAGCGUGGGGAGCAAACAGGAUUAGAUACCCGUGUAGUC